GUCAAUAUGACUAUAAGGUGCCUUUGGUGCAGAAUCAGAAUCUGUCACCAUGAACACAAUGCAAAAUAAUGAAACUCUGGGGUUUUAUUAUGAAUGGGCAAACACUUACACAUAUACCAGUACAAUUCUAAACCUCUUGAAAUGUGAUUUUACUAUUUUAUGCAAUU
Long non-coding RNA from Sphaeramia orbicularis (orbiculate cardinalfish), 167 nucleotides. RefSeq lists it as uncharacterized. Lineage: Eukaryota; Metazoa; Chordata; Actinopteri; Kurtiformes; Apogonidae. The record is from RefSeq and is a predicted model, not a curated record. The transcript is spliced from 3 exons.